UCUAGUAUAAGCAUUAUACGGCGAAACUGCGAAUGGCUCAUUAAAUCAGUUAUCGUUUAUUUGAUAGUACCUUGCUACAUGGAUAACCGUGGUAAUUCUAGAGCUAAUACAUGCUAAAAACCCCGACUUCGGAAGGGGUGUAUUUAUUAGAUUAAAAACCAACGCCCUUCGGGGCUCUCUGGUGAUUCAUAAUAACUUCUCGAAUCGCAGGGCCUUGCGCCGGCGAUGGUUCAUUCAAAUUUCUGCCCUAUCAACUUUCGACGGCUGGGUAUUGGCCAGCCAUGGUGACAACGGGUAACGGAGGGUUAGGGCUCGACCCCGGAGAAGGAGCCUGAGAAACGGCUACUACAUCCAAGGAAGGCAGCAGGCGCGCAAAUUACCCAAUCCCGACUCGGGGAGGUAGUGACAAUAAAUACUGAUACAGGGCUCUUUUGGGUCUUGUAAUUGGAAUGAGUACAAUUUAAAUCCCUUAACGAGGAACAAUUGGAGGGCAAGUCUGGUGCCAGCAGCCGCGGUAAUUCCAGCUCCAAUAGCGUAUAUUAAAGUUGUUGAGGUUAAAAAGCUCGUAGUUGAACCUUGGGCCUAGCCGGCCGGUCCGCCUCACCGCGUGCACUGGCUCGGCUGGGCCUUUCCUCUUGGAGAACCGCAUGCCCUUCACUGGGUGUGCCGGGGAACCAGGACUUUUACCUUGAACAAAUUAGAUCGCUUAAAGAAGGCCUAUGCUCGAAUACAUUAGCAU
Molecule: ribosomal RNA, 739 nt
Filed under: Gilmaniella humicola
Lineage: Eukaryota; Fungi; Ascomycota
Description: SSU rRNA
Rfam family: Eukaryotic small subunit ribosomal RNA
Source: RNAcentral